Molecule: ribosomal RNA, 497 nt
Filed under: uncultured bacterium
Lineage: Bacteria
Description: partial 16S ribosomal RNA
Rfam family: Bacterial small subunit ribosomal RNA
Source: RNAcentral
GAUGAACGCUGGCGGCGUGCCUAAUACAUGCAAGUCGAGCGAACGGACGAGACGCUUGCUUCUCUGAUGUUAGCGGCGGACGGGUGAGUAACACGUGGAUAACCUACCUAUAAGACUGGGAUAACUUCGGGAAACCGGAGCUAAUACCGGAUAAUAUUUUGAACCGCAUGGUUCAAAAGUGAAAGACGGUCUUGCUGUCACUUCUAGAUGGAUCCGCGCUGCAUUAGCUAGUUGGUAAGGUAACGGCUUACCAAGGCAACGAUGCAUAGCCGACCUGAGAGGGUGAUCGGCCACACUGGAACUGAGACACGGUCCAGACUCCUACGGGAGGCAGCAGUAGGGUAUCUUCCGCAAUGGGCGAAAGCCUGACGGAGCAACGCCGCGUGAGUUAUGAAGGUCUUCGGAUCGUAAAACUCUGUUAUGAGGGAAGAACAUAUGUGUAAGUAACUGUGCACAUCUUGACGGUACCGAAUCAGAAAGCCACGGCUAACUACGUG